AGGGAUGAUCAUGUCAAAUAAUGGAACCAGAGUUGCUGAAAACAACUUGGAAUAGGAUCCUUACUGACAGAUUAGAAGAGGAGAAAGAAUGAAUCAAAAGACCCACUCCAGAACAAUUGCAUAGUGCACCGUGAUGCUUGCCACUAUAUUCUCAGGAAAAUGGGAUAGGUACCCAAGGACAAUAGAUGGUGAGGACACCUGAGAAGACCCUAUCUGACCCACCCACCUCCAGCCCCAUCAAACAAUGUGCUCCUGAUCUAGUUUCACAGUACGCAUCCAAAUUUAACAAUUCAGAGAAUUGAGU
This is a long non-coding RNA of Lutra lutra (Eurasian river otter), 304 nucleotides long. RefSeq lists it as uncharacterized. The record is from RefSeq and is a predicted model, not a curated record. The transcript has 3 exons. Lineage: Eukaryota; Metazoa; Chordata; Mammalia; Carnivora; Mustelidae.